Molecule: ribosomal RNA, 309 nt
Filed under: uncultured bacterium
Lineage: Bacteria
Description: partial 16S ribosomal RNA
Rfam family: Bacterial small subunit ribosomal RNA
Source: RNAcentral
AGAGACAGCAGUAGCCGCGGUAAUACGAAGGGUGCAAGCGUUACUCGGAAUUACUGGGCGUAAAGCGCGCGUAGGUGGUUUGUUAAGUUGGAUGUGAAAGCCCCGGGCUCAACCUGGGAACUGCAUCCAAAACUGGCAAGCUAGAGUACGGUAGAGGGUGGUGGAAUUUCCUGUGUAGCGGUGAAAUGCGUAGAUAUAGGAAGGAACACCAGUGGCGAAGGCGACCACCUGGACUGAUACUGACACUGAGGUGCGAAAGCGUGGGGAGCAAACAGGAUUAGAUACCCCCGUAGUCCCUGUCUCUUAUAC